This 73-nucleotide transfer RNA is filed under the name Agrilus planipennis (emerald ash borer). It matches the Rfam family "tRNA". Rfam says of the family: Transfer RNA (tRNA) molecules are approximately 80 nucleotides in length. Their secondary structure includes four short double-helical elements and three loops (D, anti-codon, and T loops). Lineage: Eukaryota; Metazoa; Arthropoda; Insecta; Coleoptera; Buprestidae. The record is from Rfam by way of RNAcentral.
CCUUUCGUAGCUCAGUACUUAGAGCGUUGGUGCGCUAAGCCAUAGGUCUCGGGUUCGAUUCCCGACGAGGGUG